RNAcentral lists this ribosomal RNA (429 nucleotides) under Bacillota bacterium. RNAcentral describes it as "Firmicutes bacterium partial 16S ribosomal RNA". It matches the Rfam family "Bacterial small subunit ribosomal RNA", at positions 355 to 776 of the family's 1533-position model. Lineage: Bacteria; Bacillati; Bacillota. The record is from RNAcentral.
UGGGGAAUUUUGGACAAUGGGCGAAAGCCUGAUCCAGCAAUGCCGCGUGUGUGAAGAAGGCCUUCGGGUUGUAAAGCACUUUUGUCCGGAAAGAAAUGGCUCUGGUUAAUAUCUGGGGUCGAUGACGGUACCGGAAGAAUAAGGACCGGCUAACUACGUGCCAGCAGCCGCGGUAAUACGUAGGGUCCAAGCGUUAAUCGGAAUUACUGGGCGUAAAGCGUGCGCAGGCGGUUGUGCAAGACCGAUGUGAAAUCCCCGAGCUUAACUUGGGAAUUGCAUUGGUGACUGCACGGCUAGAGUGUGUCAGAGGGGGGUAGAAUUCCACGUGUAGCAGUGAAAUGCGUAGAGAUGUGGAGGAAUACCGAUGGCGAAGGCAGCCCCCUGGGAUAACACUGACGCUCAUGCACGAAAGCGUGGGGAGCAAACAGG